RNAcentral lists this ribosomal RNA (468 nucleotides) under uncultured bacterium. RNAcentral's name for it is "partial 16S ribosomal RNA". It matches the Rfam family "Bacterial small subunit ribosomal RNA", at positions 28 to 507 of the family's 1533-position model. The record is from RNAcentral.
GACGAACGCUGGCGGCGUGCUUAACACAUGCAAGUCGAACGGAAAGGCCCUGCUUUUGUGGGGUGCUCGAGUGGCGAACGGGUGAGUAACACGUGAGUAACCUGCCCUUGACUUUGGGAUAACUUCAGGAAACUGGGGCUAAUACCGGAUAGGAGCUCCUGCUGCAUGGUGGGGGUUGGAAAGUUUCGGCGGUUGGGGAUGGACUCGCGGCUUAUCAGCUUGUUGGUGGGGUAGUGGCUUACCAAGGGUUUGACGGAUAGCCGGCCUGAGAGGGUGACCGGCCACAUUGGGACUGAGAGACGGCCCAGACUCCUACGGGAGGCAGCAGUGGGGAAUAUUGCACAAUGGGCGGAAGCCUGAUGCAGCAACGCCGCGUGCGGGAUGACGGCCUUCGGGUUGUAAACCGCUUUCGCCUGUGACGAAGCGUUAGUGACGGUAAUGGGUAAAGAAGCACCGGCUAACUACGUG